UACGUAGGGGGCGAGCGUUGUCCGGAUUUAUUGGGCGUAAAGAGCGUGUAGGCGGCCAGGCAGGUCUGCUGUGAAAACUCGAGGCUCAACCUCGAGACGUCGGCGGAAACCAUCUGGCUAGAGUCCGGAAGAGGAGAGUGGAAUUCCUGGUGUAGCGGUGAAAUGCGCAGAUAUCAGGAAGAACACCCGUGGCGAAGGCAGCUCUCUGGGACGGUACUGACGCUGAGACGCGAAAGCGUGGGGAGCGAACAGG
RNAcentral lists this ribosomal RNA (253 nucleotides) under uncultured bacterium. Its description in RNAcentral is "partial 16S ribosomal RNA". It matches the Rfam family "Bacterial small subunit ribosomal RNA", at positions 524 to 776 of the family's 1533-position model. The record is from RNAcentral.